CUCUUAUCCAGAGUGGUGGAGGGAAAGGCCCUACGAAACCACGGCAACCUACAAACAUUUAUGUUUGGAAAGGUGCCAAAUCCUGCGAAGCGUUAUGCUUUGAAAGAUGAGAG
RNAcentral lists this non-coding RNA (113 nucleotides) under Ornithinibacillus halophilus. RNAcentral describes it as "SAM-I sequence". It matches the Rfam family "SAM riboswitch aptamer (S box leader)". From Rfam's summary of the family: The SAM riboswitch is found upstream of a number of genes which code for proteins involved in methionine or cysteine biosynthesis in Gram-positive bacteria. The record is from Rfam by way of RNAcentral. Lineage: Bacteria; Bacillati; Bacillota; Bacilli; Caryophanales; Bacillaceae.